AUACGUAGGUGGCAAGCGUUGUCCGGAUUUACUGGGUGUAAAGGGCGUGUAGGCGGAGAUGCAAGUCAGGAGUGAAAUCUAGGGGCUCAACCCCUAAACUGCUUUUGAAACUGUAUCCCUUGAGUAUCGGAGAGGCAGGCGGAAUUCCUAGUGUAGCGGUGAAAUGCGUAGAUAUUAGGAGGAACACCAGUGGCGAAGGCGGCCUGCUGGACGACAACUGCCGCUUAGGCGCGAAAGCGUGAGGAGCAAACAGGAUUAGAUACCCUGGUAGUCCACGCUGUAAACGAUGAAUACUAGGUGUGGGGGGACUGACCCCCUCCGUGCCGCAGUUAACACAAUAAGUAUUCCACCUGGGGAGUACGAUCGCAAGAUUGAAACUCAAAUGAAUUGACGGGG
RNAcentral lists this ribosomal RNA (396 nucleotides) under uncultured bacterium. RNAcentral's name for it is "partial 16S ribosomal RNA". It matches the Rfam family "Bacterial small subunit ribosomal RNA", at positions 523 to 918 of the family's 1533-position model. The record is from RNAcentral.